UAGGGGCUUGAACGGCACGCGUCGCUGG
This 28-nucleotide small RNA is filed under the name Bombyx mori (domestic silkworm). RNAcentral describes it as "ovarian small RNA-22722". Lineage: Eukaryota; Metazoa; Arthropoda; Insecta; Lepidoptera; Bombycidae. The record is from RNAcentral.